Molecule: unclassified non-coding RNA, 263 nt
Filed under: plant metagenome
Description: partial contains small subunit ribosomal RNA, internal transcribed spacer 1, and 5.8S ribosomal RNA
Source: RNAcentral
UUUCCGUAGGUGAACCUGCGGAAGGAUCAUUAUUGUGUAACCGAGGUGCGAGGGCUGUCGCUGACCCGACAGGUCGUGCACGCCCGAGUGCCCUCACACACAUCCAUCUCACCCCUAUGUGCACCACCGCGUGGGUCCCCCUUUGGCUUGUUCGGAGGGGGGCUUACGUUUUCACACAAACUUUGUAUGCAGUGUAGAAUGUAUUUUUUGUUUUUGCGAUCACGCAAUCAAUACAACUUUCAACAACGGAUCUCUUGGCUCUC